GCAAUUAAUGUUCUGAUUCUUUCAAGAUGUUGCCUAUAGGCACAUUUAACCCAUGUCCCACAAUCAGUGUUUACAGGUAGGCCUAACUGGAAUCUGAGCCUGUGCAUUGAAUAACCCGAAAAGCAAACACAUGCAUUACUGUCAACAUGCAGUAGCACUGAGCACUACAAAGAAGUUGCUUAUUUGGAUACAAAGACCAAUCCUAAGCCAGCUUUUGUUUCAGUUGGAAAUUGCCCGCUCAAAUUAACGCUUUCACAAACAAUGCAUCAUUUGGGUCAUCAUUUCGCUGUGUGAUACGAUCAGGGAAGCAAGUCUGAAGUUCUUCUACUGAAAGCCUGUAUCUUUUGCCUGUUUUCUAGAAUCAGUCGAACCAUAUCGAAAAAUUCAAAUUAUCUACAGAGAUGGGUCGUCUACAGAAUAAAGAAAUAUCGUAUAUGCCGAUCAUUGAAAAUGGGUUCGCAAAAACGUCUAACUCAUCGAUUAAAUUUGGGAAUGGCAAGAAGAAGCAUACCAAUCAUCUAUAGACGAUAGAGGUCUGGGAGGAAGAGAAGUUAAGCAUUCUAGAAGCAAUGACAUAAGCAGUGGACCCAUCCUUGGCAACAACAUGACUUCUUCAGCAUGUUCAUGGAAAUUUAAUGAUCUCUUUGUGUCACCAGAACUGAGUCACAGAAUCCCUUACACCUCCAGACGGACACGGAACACAAUCCUCACAAUCACCAAAUCGCUCGACCUUCUGUCAGAGGCCACGAUGUCGAUCUGUUCGUUUUAUAUCGUCUAUUUUCAAUAUCCCACUUGCCUAAGUAAGACUCUCAUAUUUAUGCAAAGAUCUUAUUAGAUAUUCAGGAUGGAGACAACAGUCCACGGCCCAUAUUUACAUUAACAAUAAAUCAAACAUGCAGUGAGUUAAGAUAAUUAACCUUCUAUAUCUAUUUGUGUUAAUUCUUUAUUGCUGAAAUCUAGUAUAAUCAAACACUCUAGUGUCCUAAUAAUUUUGGUUAAGGUUUAUUCCAUACAAUAAUAAUAAUUUAAGAUAAAUCUGAUAUUCCAAACAAUAUCAGAUUUAUUUUAAAUCUGUAUUAUAAAAUGUUGGUUUUCACAAAUUCAAAUCUAAAUAGUGUUUUCUUAAUCAGACGCCAAGUUUAUUGUGGGAUGCUCUGGGUAUAUGACUAAGUUUGAAAAGGUUUCCUUUUGCGUAAUAAACAAAUGCAAAUGUUUGUGUUAUGACAUUACAGAGCAAAACAUUAGUUCUUUUUUAUUUAUUUGGACAGCAACAGUUUGUACAUACCAAAUUCUGUAAUUUGUAUUAUCUACAUUUUAUCACCCUUUUCACAAAGGAAUUCAUCUGACUAUUAAUUUGUAUUAUGUAUUUUUUCAUAAUUCUG
Molecule: long non-coding RNA, 1382 nt
Organism: Lytechinus variegatus (green sea urchin)
Lineage: Eukaryota; Metazoa; Echinodermata; Echinoidea; Temnopleuroida; Toxopneustidae
Exons: 4
Source: RefSeq, a predicted model, not a curated record